UCUUCCUACGGGGGGCAGCAGUGGGGAAUAUUGCACAAUGGGGGAAACCCUGAUGUAGCGACGCCGCGUGAAGGAUGAAGUAUUUCGGUAUGUAAACUUCUAUCAGCAGGGAAGAAAAUGACGGUACCUGACUAAGAAGCCCCGGCUAACUACGUGCCAGCAGCCGCGGUAAUACGUAGGGGGCAAGCGUUAUCCGGAUUUACUGGGUGUAAAGGGAGCGUAGACGGUAUGGUAAGUCUGAUGUGAAAACCCGUGGCUCAACCUCGGGACUGCAUUGGAAAUUGUCGGACUAGAGUGU
This 298-nucleotide ribosomal RNA is filed under the name uncultured bacterium. RNAcentral describes it as "partial 16S ribosomal RNA". It matches the Rfam family "Bacterial small subunit ribosomal RNA", at positions 334 to 649 of the family's 1533-position model. The record is from RNAcentral.